UGAGAGAGCGGAGGAGGCGCAGGCGCAGCACAGUUUAAACUUGAUUUUGUGAGGGGACGAACAGCGUGACAAUUAAAAGAAGAUCUGGGAAUCUUUCCAAGAAGAGUUUUCUAAUCUGUUAAGAUGUCACCUGCAGCCUCCUCAAAGAAAAGCUUCCUGAGGCCUUCACCAGAAGCAGAUGCUGGUGCCGUGCUUCUACAGCCUGCAGAACUGAAGGACUUUACAGCUUCUCUUUCGCAUAUCCAAAUUGCCAGCAUCACCGCUCUUGCACUCCAAGCCAUUAUUAAGUAAAGUAAAGAACACAAACACUGUGAUACUGCUACACUUGAUCUGAUAACCAAGAAGUCUACUAAGUGACUAACAGCAGAGCAACUGGGAACCUAAUUCUGACCAAAAAGGAGGAAUUGUUUGGCUAAUUGGAAGUGACAGAAACCUUGGGAGAAAGCAACCGCAUACCAAGGAUAAUUAUAAGAAGAAGAGAAGACAUGGAGAAGAGGAGGGAGUAGUUGUGACCGUGGAGGCAGAGAAUGGAGUAAUGUGAUCAUAAAUCAAGGAAUGCUGACAGCCACUAAAGCUGGAGAAGGCCAAGGACAGAUAUUCAAUCCUCCCGUAGAAGUACAGCCCUGCUAAUGCAUUGAUUUUGGACUUCUGGCCUCAGAACUGUCUGGAAAGCAUGGAAAUUUGUAUCUUCAUUCACUUUUGUUUUCAUGGACUCUUUUCAUGUUUGAACUUUUCAUGGUAUGAGCUGUUUUAUAAUCUAUAAUAUG
This 767-nucleotide long non-coding RNA is filed under the name Homo sapiens (human). Its description in RNAcentral is "TMEM161B divergent transcript". The record is from RNAcentral. Lineage: Eukaryota; Metazoa; Chordata; Mammalia; Primates; Hominidae.